This 1092-nucleotide ribosomal RNA is filed under the name human gut metagenome. Its description in RNAcentral is "bacterial LSU rRNA". It matches the Rfam family "Bacterial large subunit ribosomal RNA", at positions 1835 to 2925 of the family's 2925-position model. The record is from RNAcentral.
AAGAUGACGUAUAGGGGCUGACGCCUGCCCGGUGCUGGAAGGUUAAGAGGAUGAGUUAGCGCAAGCGAAGCCCAGAAUUGAAGCCCCAGUAAACGGCGGCCGUAACUAUAACGGUCCUAAGGUAGCGAAAUUCCUUGUCGGGUAAGUUCCGACCCGCACGAAAGGCGUAAUGAUUUGGGCACUGUCUCAACGAGAGACUCGGUGAAAUUAUAAUACCCGUGAAGAUGCGGGUUACCCGCGACAGGACGGAAAGACCCCAUGGAGCUUUACUGUAGCUUGAUAUUGAGUGUUUGUACAGUUUGUACAGGAUAGGUAGGAGCCGUAGAAAUCGGAACGCUAGUUUCGAUUGAGGCGUUGGUGGGAUACUACCCUAACUGUAUGACCACUCUAACCCGCGCCACUUAGCGUGGCGGGAGACAGUGUCAGGUGGGCAGUUUGACUGGGGCGGUCGCCUCCUAAAGUGUAACGGAGGCGCUCAAAGGUUCUCUCAGAAUGGUUGGAAAUCAUUCGUAGAGUGUAAAGGUAUAAGAGAGCUUGACUGUGAGAUUGACAAAUCGAGCAGGGACGAAAGUCGGACUUAGUGAUCCGGUGGUUCCGUAUGGAAGGGCCAUCGCUCAACGGAUAAAAGCUACCCUGGGGAUAACAGGCUUAUCUCCCCCAAGAGUCCACAUCGACGGGGAGGUUUGGCACCUCGAUGUCGGCUCAUCGCAUCCUGGGGCUGUAGUCGGUCCCAAGGGUUGGGCUGUUCGCCCAUUAAAGCGGUACGCGAGCUGGGUUCAGAACGUCGUGAGACAGUUCGGUCCCUAUCCGUCGCGGGCGCAGGAAAUUUGAGAGGAGCUGUCCUUAGUACGAGAGGACCGGGAUGGACAUACCUCUGGUGUACCAGUUGUGCCGCCAGGCGCAUCGCUGGGUAGCUAUGUAUGGCAGGGAUAAACGCUGAAAGCAUCUAAGUGUGAAGCCCCCCUCGAGAUGAGAUUUCCCAUUCCUUUAUGGAAGUAAGACCCCUGAAAGAUGAUCAGGUAGAUAGGCUAGGAGUGGAAGUACAGCGAUGUAUGGAGCGGACUAGUACUAAUCGGUCGAGGACUUAACCAA